AAAAAAAAAAAAAAGUGCCUUGUGUCAACAAUUAAUUCUUUAUCAAGUUUCCAUUAAUUUCUAAGUACUUCCAGGAGUCAUUUGUACAUACUGAUUUAUUUGAUGACCAUAAUCAUGAGUUAAACGUCACCGUGGGCCUUGACAUGGCUCAGUAGAUAAAGACACAUGCUGCCAAACCUAGAGACCUGAGUUUGACACUCAGGACCCACAUAGUGAAAUGAGAGAGCUGCAAAGAGAGAGAGAGAGAAUAAAUUCUCAAAAACUACUUGUUAGCUGCAUUUCGAAUAGGGGGAAACCCUGAGAUACUGAAUCACUUUCCCUGGGUUACUCAAUCAGCAAAUGCAGAGAUGGAAUUUGAACCCAGGAAGUUUAUUCACUGUACCGCACUGCCUCUGGGUAAACGUUUAACUCUGAAUUAUGGAUGCUGAUGGCAUGAACACUCUGCCCGGCCCCUUCCUGAAGAGAUCAAGUGCGUGAACCAACAUGAAUGAAACCGGCAGUUGCUAGCACUGAAGUGGGCAGAUAAGAGAAAAGGACGGAGGCCAUGCUCAGUGGCCCAGGGGUGGUGGGCAGUGGAGCAGAGCAGAGGAAAGGAAACCUCUGAGGAAGAGGACUCCUUAUAGUAUCAGGGCAGAAGCCCUCAUCUGGAGACCUGGGGGGCUGAGUCAUCCUGGAAAGAGGCAGCCAUGUUAGUAGACACUCAGCAUGACCCCUGCUCUUUUCCAGACCCCCAGUGAGUCAUCUGCCUUCACAAACCCUGCCAUGCUAAUGACAUAUGCAACCUUCUAGACAAGAACACAUACACAGGGUGUUUGGGAAAACAGGGAUGGAUGCUUUAGUUAAGUUUUCUAGUUGGCAAAGAACUUCUAUGCUUCCUUAAAUAUUUUUUUUUAGCAGUUUUGGAGAGACAUCUACUUACAAAGACUAAAUUCCUUCCUUCUUUUAAAAAGUAUUUAUUUGGGUGUAAGUACACAUGGGUACAUGUGUGCCACUGUGUAUGUGUGAAUGUCAGGAGACAACUUUGGGG
RNAcentral lists this long non-coding RNA (1027 nucleotides) under Cricetulus griseus (Chinese hamster). Its description in RNAcentral is "lncRNA (ENSCGRG00015033241.1)". Lineage: Eukaryota; Metazoa; Chordata; Mammalia; Rodentia; Cricetidae. The record is from RNAcentral.